RNAcentral lists this long non-coding RNA (413 nucleotides) under Drosophila guanche. Lineage: Eukaryota; Metazoa; Arthropoda; Insecta; Diptera; Drosophilidae. The record is from RNAcentral.
GAUUGAUUGAAUGUAAUUUGAGUUAAGUCCCUCCAACAUUCGAAUGCCUUACACUAAGUACUUGUUUCCCUAAACAUUGAAUUGAUAAUUUGCUUUGAAAUUGUAACAGUUUCGUCUUCAGUUAGACAGUUUUCGAGAAUACUUUCUAAAGUAUAACAUUUUAUUGUGUCUGAUUGAUUGGUUUUUCUCCAGACCUUCAGGGGAGCUGCUCAAGUGAACUCAUAAGUAUCUGCAAAAUGUAAUAGUUUCUGAAAAUGGGCAAAACUUGUUUUUAUAUUAUUUGGUUAAUAACAUGUAACUUGAACCUUGAUGAUAUGGUGUGCUGUACAAAAGUUAUAUUCCACAGAACACAUGUACACUCAUGUGUACUUUGUUGAGUAUGAAGCUAAAAAUACACACGAAAAAAACAUUGG